Long non-coding RNA from Helianthus annuus (common sunflower), 285 nucleotides. RefSeq lists it as uncharacterized. Lineage: Eukaryota; Viridiplantae; Streptophyta; Magnoliopsida; Asterales; Asteraceae. The transcript is spliced from 2 exons. The record is from RefSeq and is a predicted model, not a curated record.
GCCACAUCAAAACAACUAUUCAAACAUUACAACAAUUGGCAAUGGAAGAAGAAAAUUUAGAAGUUCCAAUCCCGACAAGUGACGAUGCAUUUAAUUGAAGUGAACUUGGUUGUUUUCUGUUUUGGUAUUAUGUUUUGAACUUGGUUGUUUCCUGUUUUGGAAUUAUGUUUUGAACUCGGUUGUUUCCUUUUUUACUUUGGUUGUUUAUGUUUUGAACUUGGUUGUAACCAGUUUUGGUAUUAUAUUCUUGCAUUACUGAUACAAUUUUUGAGUUAUUUUUUGGUU